UACGGGGGGGGCAAGCGUUGUUCGGAAUUACUGGGCGUAAAGGGCUCGUAGGCGGCCAACUAAGUCGGACGUGAAAUCCCCAGGCUCAACCUGGGAACUGCGUCUGAUACUGGGAGGCUUGAGUAUGGGAGAGGGAUGUAGAAUUCCAGGUGUAGCGGUGAAAUGCGCAGAUAUCGGGAGGAACACCAGUAGCGAAGGCGGCUCGCUGGGCCGUUCCUGACGCUGAGACGCGAAAGCUAGGGGAGCGAACAGG
RNAcentral lists this ribosomal RNA (253 nucleotides) under uncultured bacterium. Its description in RNAcentral is "partial 16S ribosomal RNA". It matches the Rfam family "Bacterial small subunit ribosomal RNA", at positions 524 to 776 of the family's 1533-position model. The record is from RNAcentral.